GCCUCCAUAGCUCAGUUGGCUAGAGCAGCUGAUUUGUAAUCAGCAGGUCGUGGGUUCGAAUCCCUCUGGAGGCUCAA
RNAcentral lists this transfer RNA (77 nucleotides) under Chryseobacterium aquaticum subsp. greenlandense. RNAcentral's name for it is "Chryseobacterium greenlandense tRNA-Thr". It matches the Rfam family "tRNA". Rfam says of the family: Transfer RNA (tRNA) molecules are approximately 80 nucleotides in length. Their secondary structure includes four short double-helical elements and three loops (D, anti-codon, and T loops). The record is from RNAcentral. Lineage: Bacteria; Pseudomonadati; Bacteroidota; Flavobacteriia; Flavobacteriales; Weeksellaceae.